RNAcentral lists this long non-coding RNA (492 nucleotides) under Mytilus galloprovincialis (Mediterranean mussel). The record is from RNAcentral. Lineage: Eukaryota; Metazoa; Mollusca; Bivalvia; Mytilida; Mytilidae.
GCUUUGCUACCGAUGCAAGUGCAAAAGGAUUGUCCACAGAAACCAUUAGAACUUUAGGUAGAUUGAAAUCCGAUGCAUUCAAAUUGUACAUUAGACAAUCAGGUCAAAUUUCUAACAUUUAGUCAAUUUUACCUGUAUCACAACUGAUCAUGUAAUGACACAUUUUGGAGAAUGAAUUACUGCGUUUAUUAUUUUAUAUUUUGUACAGGGCUCGUGGGUCACAGCUCAUUGCAUAUCGCAUAAAGAAUAACAGUUCAUGUUAUAUGGAAACAGUGGACAAAUGGGAAAGGUGAAUUAUGACGCUCAUUCAAGCUGAUUCAAGGACAACCUUAAUCCAGGAAUCCAUCCGUUUACUAUUGAAAUGAAAAAAAAUUACUGAGAGGAAGUUGACAGAACACAGCGUGCUAGUACUGUUAUAUCAAAAUCUCGCAUUUGCAUUUAGUUAUAUGAGACAGUAAACUUAUGACUAUAUAUUUAGAAAUAUAGUUAUUU